GAUGAACGCUGGCGGCGUGCCUAAUACAUGCAAGUCGAGCGAACAGAUGAGGAGCUUGCUCCUCUGACGUUAGCGGCGGACGGGUGAGUAACACGUGGAUAACCUACCUAUAAGACUGGGAUAACUUCGGGAAACCGGAGCUAAUACCGGAUAAUAUAUUUAACCGCAUGGUUCAAUAGUGAAAGACGGUUUUGCUUCCACUUUAGAUGGAUCCGCGCCGCAUUAGCUAGUUGGUAAGGUAACGGCUUACCAAGGCGACGAUACGUAGCCGACCUGAGAGGGUGAUCGGCCACACUGGAACUGAGACACGGUCCAGACUCCUACGGGAGGCAGCAGUAGGGAAUCUUCCGCAAUGGGCGAAAGCCUGACGGAGCAACGCCGCGUGAGUGAUGAAGGUCUUCGGAUCGUAAAACUCUGUUAUUAGGGAAGAACAAAUGUGUAAGUAACUAUGCACGUCUUGACGGUACCUAAUCAGAAAGCCACGGCUAACUACGUG
RNAcentral lists this ribosomal RNA (496 nucleotides) under uncultured bacterium. Its description in RNAcentral is "partial 16S ribosomal RNA". It matches the Rfam family "Bacterial small subunit ribosomal RNA", at positions 28 to 507 of the family's 1533-position model. The record is from RNAcentral.